RNAcentral lists this ribosomal RNA (515 nucleotides) under Parnassius loxias tashkorensis. Its description in RNAcentral is "partial 16S ribosomal RNA". The stretch from base 388 to 515 matches the Rfam family "Bacterial large subunit ribosomal RNA", at positions 2473 to 2600 of the family's 2925-position model. The record is from RNAcentral. Lineage: Eukaryota; Metazoa; Arthropoda; Insecta; Lepidoptera; Papilionidae.
GUCUUUUUGAUAAAUAAUUUAAAGUCUAAUCUGCCCACUGAUAAUAUAUUAAAGGGCUGCAGUAUUUUGACUGUACAAAGGUAGCAUAAUCAUUAGUCUCUUAAUUGGUGACUUGUAUGAAAGAUUUAAUGAAAUAUAUACUGUCUCUUUUUAAUUUAUAAAAUUUAAUUUUUUAGUUAAAAAGCUAAAAUGUAUUUAAAAGACGAGAAGACCCUAUAGAGUUUAAUAUUUAAUAGAAUUAAAAUUUUUUAUAAGAUUUAAAAUUUUAAUUUUAGUAAAUAUUUUGUUGGGGUGACAAAAAAAUUAAAAAAACUUUUUUUAUAAAUUUACAUUAAUAAAUGAGUAAGUGAUCCGUAAUUUACGAUUAAAAGAAAAAAUUACCUUAGGGAUAACAGCGUAAUUUUUUUUUUUAGUUCAAAUAAGAAAAAAAGUUUGCGACCUCGAUGUUGGAUUAAGAUAAAAUUUAAAUGCAAAAGUUUAAAAUUUUUGAUCUGUUCGAUCAUUAAAAUCUUACA